RNAcentral lists this long non-coding RNA (375 nucleotides) under Mytilus galloprovincialis (Mediterranean mussel). The record is from RNAcentral. Lineage: Eukaryota; Metazoa; Mollusca; Bivalvia; Mytilida; Mytilidae.
CUGGGCCAAAUACUUCCAAACUUUAAUUGAAUGUUCCUUAGGGUAUCUAGUUUGUAAAUUGUAUCCGAAGUUAUGAUCUAUCAACAAACAUGGUCGCCAUUGCUAAAAAUAGAACAUAGGGGUCAAAUGCAGUUUUUGGCUUAUAACUCAAAAACCAAAGCAUUUAGAGCAAAUCUGACAGGGGUAAUAUUGUUUAUCAGGUCAAGAUCUAUCUGCCCUGAAAUUUUCAGAUGAAUCAGACAACCUGUUGUUGGGUUGCUGCCCCUGAAUUGGUAAUUUUAAGGAAAUUUUGCUGUUUUUGGUUAUUAUCUUGAAUAUUAUUAUAUAUAGAGAUAAACUGUAAACAGGAAUAAUGUUCAGCAAAGUAAGAUUUAC